This 552-nucleotide ribosomal RNA is filed under the name uncultured bacterium. Its description in RNAcentral is "bacterial SSU rRNA". It matches the Rfam family "Bacterial small subunit ribosomal RNA", at positions 774 to 1324 of the family's 1533-position model. The record is from RNAcentral.
AGGAAAUAGAUACCCUGGUAGUCCACGCCCUAAACGAUGUCGACUGGUUGUUGGGGGUUUGACACUCUCAGUAAACGAAAGCUAAACGCGUGAAGUCGACCGCCUGGGGAGUACGGCCGCAAGGUUAAAACUCAAAGGAAUUGACGGGGACCCGCACAAGCGGUGGAUUAUGUGGAUUAAUUCGAUGCAACGCGAAAAACCUUACCUACCCUUGACAUGUCCUGAAUCCUGGAGAGAUCCGGGGGUGCCCGAAAGGGAACGGGAACACAGGUGCUGCAUGGCUGUCGUCAGCUCGUGUCGUGAGAUGUUGGGUUAAGUCCCGCAACGAGCGCAACCCUUGUCAUUAGUUGCUACCGCAAGGAGCACUCUAAUGAGACUGCCGGUGACAAACCGGAGGAAGGUGGGGAUGACGUCAAGUCCUCAUGGCCCUUAUGGGUAGGGCUUCACACGUAAUACAAUGGUCGGUACAGAGGGUUGCCAAGCCGCGAGGCGGAGCCAAUCCCAGAAAGCCGAUCGUAGUCCGGAUCGCAGUCUGCAACUCGACUGCGUGAA